AGAGUUUGAUCCUGGCUCAGAAUCAACGCUGACGGCGUGCCUAACACAUGCAAGUCGAACGAGAAAGUGGAGCAAUCCAUGAGUAAAGUGGCGCACGGGUGAGUAACACGUGACUAACCUACCCUUGAGUGGGGGAUAACCUAGGGAAACCUGGGCUAAUACCGCAUAACACCUACGGGUCAAAGGAGCAAUUCGCUUAAGGAGGGGGUCGCGGCAGAUUAGUUAGUUGGCGGGGUAAUGGCCCACCAAGACGGUGAUCUGUAUCCGGCCUGAGAGGGCGCACGGACACACUGGAACUGAAACACGGUCCAGACUCCUACGGGAGGCAGCAGUGGGGAAUUUUGCGCAAUGGGGGAAACCCUGACGCAGCAACGCCGCGUGGAGGAUGAAGUCCCUUGGGACGUAAACUCCUUUCGACCGGGACGAUUAUGACGGUACCGGAAGAAGAAGCCCCGGCUAACUUCGUGCCAGCAGCCGCGGUAAUACGAGGGGGGCGAGCGUUGUUCGGAAUUAUUGGGCGUAAAGGGUGCGUAGGCGGUUCGGUAAGUUUCAUGUGAAAUCUUCGGGCUUAACUCGAAGCCUGCAUGAAAUACUGCCGGGCUUGAGUGUGGGAGAGGUGAGUGGAAUUUCCGGUGUAGCGGUGAAAUGCGUAGAUAUCGGAAGGAACACCUGUGGCGAAAGCGGCUCACUGGACCACAACUGACGCUGAUGCACGAAAGCUAGGGGAGCAAACAGGAUUAGAUACCCUAGUAGUCC
RNAcentral lists this ribosomal RNA (756 nucleotides) under uncultured bacterium. RNAcentral's name for it is "bacterial SSU rRNA". It matches the Rfam family "Bacterial small subunit ribosomal RNA", at positions 8 to 796 of the family's 1533-position model. The record is from RNAcentral.